GGCGGUGUAGCCAAGUGGUAAGGCAGAGGUCUGCAAAACCUCCAUUCCCCGGUUCGAGUCCGGGCGCCGCCUCCA
RNAcentral lists this transfer RNA (75 nucleotides) under bacterium. Its description in RNAcentral is "tRNA-Cys". It matches the Rfam family "tRNA". Rfam says of the family: Transfer RNA (tRNA) molecules are approximately 80 nucleotides in length. The record is from RNAcentral.